Molecule: unclassified non-coding RNA, 198 nt
Filed under: uncultured Thelephoraceae
Lineage: Eukaryota; Fungi; Basidiomycota; Agaricomycetes; Thelephorales; Thelephoraceae
Description: sequence contains ITS1
Source: RNAcentral
CUGAAUUGUCAACAAGAGUUGUUGCUGGCCCUCAAACGGGGGCAUGUGCACGCUCUGUUCACACAUCCACUCACACCCUGUGCACCCUCUGUAGUCCUAUGGUCGGGGGUCUCGUCCUCCUGCUGUGGUUCCGCAUCUUUACACACACACUGUAACAAAGUCUCAUGGAAUGCAUGUCGCGUUUAACGCAAUACAAUA